Molecule: non-coding RNA, 1772 nt
Organism: Paralichthys olivaceus (Japanese flounder)
Lineage: Eukaryota; Metazoa; Chordata; Actinopteri; Pleuronectiformes; Paralichthyidae
Source: RefSeq, a predicted model, not a curated record
GGACAAGGUCGUCAGAUCUCCAAGGGUCACACACCUCUUUGACAGUCACCUGGGGUCGUGUGGAUGUUAAAGAGUGAUACUUAUUCACACUGCCAAAUGUCUGCAGCAGGGACUCCUUGAAAGCGUUUGCUGAGGCUUCCGAAUGGAGAUGAAUCCCGACGGUGUGUCAGGGAUUUGACGGCGCUACACCACAAAAGCGGAAAGCCUGUGCACCAGCACCAACCGUGGAUGAACUGAGUCAAUGAGAUUUCAACGUUGCAAAUUGUGGGUGAGUCAGUGGUUUGAGGCCCUGAAAUCCUAUUGUAGCAGCUUGUAUUGUGCUAGGAGACCUGCUGUAGCAGAUUCAUUCACCUCUACCCACUACAGGUAGGGAGCUGAUUACUAGAGAGCCAGCAGCAUGCAGAUUCUCACUGUGGACACAGUUAAAGGGACAUGCCAGGGAUUAUAUUGGUGCACUCCGCAAAGGCUGAGCAUUCUAGAAACAUGCACCUUAAAAAGCUGAGCACUUUACCUGGCACUUAAAUUAUCUUAUCUUGCCUGUGCACACAACUGCCAACAGAGGAGAAUUUCUCACUGAUGGACAGUAGCAUCCCGUCCCAUUUUCAACUCCAGGGAGCAAAGAGGUCUUUCCUGUAAGGACACAUAAACCACCUCUGGCUGGAAAAAGAGCCCUCUUCCGGGGUGUCCUGAAGCCACAGCACACUGCAUAUAGCUCUUAAUCCGUCAUCAUGUGGCUGGGGGCAGUCUGGCGCAUGAAAUUGGCAUCUCCGGCAGGCGUGGCGACUUGCCCCUGUCAGCUGGUCGAUUUGCUGUACAGCCAUUAGGCUGCACCUCUGCAUCCAGCGGACAUGUGUCAGCUGAAUAACCUUUAAACUGAUCUGAGGCCUUUGCUGAACUGACAGCUGGCCCAAUGGGGCUUGACGGAAGCCAUCGCUGAUGCCACAAGGAUCAGUGAUCCAUUCCAAAACUUGAUUCUCCACCCUACACGUGGCUCUUCUUCUAUACAGCAAUGAAGAAGUUCAACGAUAUCACAUCCCUGCUCCUCGCCUAAGAUUAUUUGAGCUUCUGACUCUCCUCUUUAUCCACCAAGGCCAAUAAGAUGACGAGACAACUGUAAAUAUGUUUCAGAUGUGUUCCACGUCACCAAAGGAUGUUCAGGUAAGGACUUUUUUUUUUUUCUAUAUGCAAUCAUGCUACAAUCUAUGACCAUGACAAGUGCAACAGUUACCCUGUUUGGUUUGUUUCCUCUACAACAAUGACAGUGUUUGUUGUUUGUUCAAACCCACUGAAACAUCCCACCUGUGUGUUUAUGCUCAGUGGCAAUGCAGGAAGAUGUCUGACGUUUUUUAUCAAAUGGCAAAAAGUACUGUGUCCCAACAGUCAGCGUUUAUUCCCUUUAUCGAUGACUUCAACCUUCACUCAUCUUUCAACCUGAUACUGUGCAGUUUAUAAUGGAGCCACUGCAAUAAACCUUUCCAAGUGUCAACAUGUCUGCUGUGACAAAGCUCUAUCACUCUGCAUCUGUGCAUUUAAACGUUGGUUUGUCCUAUUUUACGUUUGUACGCGUGCUUGAAAUGAACUUGAAGCUAAUUAUUUUCAUUUGGUCUAACUAAUGUUAAUGUCUUAUGGGGAUUUUAGUAAUUCGUAGAAGCUGUAUGUACAAAUCAAACAGUCUCAUUUGUACUUGUGGAUUUAUCAAAAUCAUUUGCAUCAAUUACAGCAACAUAAUUACAAAUCAAUCGCAAAAUGUCUCUGAUUACAUGGUAAUGACA